RNAcentral lists this ribosomal RNA (524 nucleotides) under uncultured Pseudomonadota bacterium. RNAcentral describes it as "bacterial SSU rRNA". It matches the Rfam family "Bacterial small subunit ribosomal RNA", at positions 382 to 896 of the family's 1533-position model. Lineage: Bacteria; Pseudomonadati; Pseudomonadota. The record is from RNAcentral.
CCUGACGCAGCAACGCCGCGUGUGUGAUGAAGGUCUUCGGAUUGUAAAGCACUUUUCGACCGGGCGAAAACCCCGUUUGGCUAACAUCCAGCGGCUUGACGGUACCGGGAGAAGAAGCACCGGCUAACUCUGUGCCAGCAGCCGCGGUAAUACAGAGGGUGCAAGCGUUGUUCGGAAUUAUUGGGCGUAAAGCGCGUGUAGGCGGCGUGACAAGUCGGGUGUGAAAGCCCUCAGCUCAACUGAGGAAGUGCGCCCGAAACUGUCGUGCUUGAGUGCCGGAGAGGGUGGCGGAAUUCCCCAAGUAGAGGUGAAAUUCGUAGAUAUGGGGAGGAACACCGGUGGCGAAGGCGGCCACCUGGACGGUAACUGACGCUGAGACGCGAAAGCGUGGGGAGCAAACAGGAUUAGAUACCCUGGUAGUCCACGCCGUAAACGAUGAGAACUAGGUGUCGUGGGAGUUGACCCCCGCGGUGCCGAGGCUAACGCAUUAAGUUCUCCGCCUGGGAAGUACGGUCGCAAGACUA